UAACCUGCCUAUUAGAGGGGGGUAACUAUUGGAAACGAUAGCUAAUACCGCAUAACAGUAUGUAACACAUGUUAGAUGCUUGAAAGAUGCAAUUGCAUCGCUAGUAGAUGGACCUGCGUUGUAUUAGCUAGUAGGUAGGGUAAUGGCCUACCUAGGCGACGAUACAUAGCCGACCUGAGAGGGUGAUCGGCCACACUGGGACUGAGACACGGCCCAG
Molecule: ribosomal RNA, 217 nt
Filed under: uncultured bacterium
Lineage: Bacteria
Description: partial 16S ribosomal RNA
Rfam family: Bacterial small subunit ribosomal RNA
Source: RNAcentral